GAUUAACAAAGGAACAAAGAAGGAACUCCG
This 30-nucleotide non-coding RNA is filed under the name Cricetulus griseus (Chinese hamster). Lineage: Eukaryota; Metazoa; Chordata; Mammalia; Rodentia; Cricetidae. The record is from RNAcentral.